GACGAACGCUGGCGGCGUGCUUAACACAUGCAAGUCGAACGGUCAAGCUCCAGCUUUCUGGAGUGGAUCAGUGGCGAACGGGUGAGUAACACGUGAGCAACCUGCCCCUGACUCUGUAGUAAACGCUGGAAACGGCGUCUAAUACUGGAUACGAUAAAUUUCCGCAUGUGCACUUUCUGUAAAGUUUUGCGGUUGUGGAUGGUCUCGCGGCCUAUCAGCUUCUUGGUGAGGUAAUGGCUCACGACGGCUACGAGGGGUAGCCGGCCUGAGAGGGCUACCGGCCACAAUGGGACUGCGGGAGGGACCAGAAUGGUACGGGCGGCAGCAGUGGGGAAUCUUGCAGAGUGGGCGAACGCCUGAUGCAGAGGUGCCGCGUGAGGGAUGACGGCCUUUGAGGUGUAAACAUAUUUCAGCAGGGAAGAAGCGAAAGUGACGGUACCUGCAGAAGAAGCACCGGCUAACUACGUG
Molecule: ribosomal RNA, 468 nt
Filed under: uncultured bacterium
Lineage: Bacteria
Description: partial 16S ribosomal RNA
Rfam family: Bacterial small subunit ribosomal RNA
Source: RNAcentral